This is a long non-coding RNA of Hyla sarda, 673 nucleotides long. RefSeq lists it as uncharacterized. The record is from RefSeq and is a predicted model, not a curated record. The transcript has 3 exons. NCBI's taxonomy places the organism in Eukaryota, Metazoa, Chordata, Amphibia, Anura, Hylidae.
AAGCAAGGGACCAUUAUCUGGAGCGGGUGCACGGAAAAGAAGAGACCCGCAGAGAUCAGAACAUUAAGACAGACAUAUCUCUAGGUAUUCCGGUCUCUGGAUAGCAGAAAAUAAUUAGGCGGGAAGUGGUGGAAAGUCGUAGAUUCACAGCAGGAGCCGGAGCUCACGACUCAGACGUGCAUACAGCUAGGCAGCCAGACCACGCCCCUGGAAUACCCCUUUAACUGAACUAAAAGAAAGAUCCCUGAAAAUGUUACUAGGAUUCAACAAAGCAAAUACCUAAAGAAGCAAAGAUUCUCGGUGCCCAGAUACAAAACAGGGAUCAAGGCCACCGUGGUUCAUGAAUAAAAAUGACAGGAUUGGAAGGUGGAUGGAGCAAGCUGGCAGGAAAUAACUGCUUGCUUACAAAUUCUAGACAAGAAAUAUAAUUCAAAGGUUACAUGAACAAGAAGAAGGGGAUAGAGCUACACGGAAUAAAGAAGUACACCGGCUGGAGGAUUUACAUAAAGCAGAAAACUCUGGACUGGCAAGAAAGUUCAUGUAAAAGAUGAAUCAGAAGAAGAGAUGAACCUGAGCGAUCAUGUGCCCGGCUGAGGUGCUGGACAGCUACAAUGGCAAAUUAUGUCUUCACUAUCUAUCUAUCUAUCUAUCUCCUAUCUUUCUCAUCUCUAUC